UAGGGAAUUUUCGUCAAUGGGGGAGCCCUGAACGAGCAAUGCCGCGUGUGUGAAGAAAGUCUUCGGAUCGUAAAGCACUGUUGUAAGUGAAGAAUGCCAUAUAGAGGAAAUGCUAUGUGGGUGACGGUAGCUUACCAGAAAGCCACGGCUAACUACGUGCCAGCAGCCGCGGUAAUACGUAGGUGGCAAGCGUUAUCCGGAAUCAUUGGGCGUAAAGGGUGCGUAGGUGGCACGAUAAGUCUGAAGUAAAAGGCAACAGCUCAACUGUUGUAUGCUUUGGAAACUGUCGAGCUAGAGUGCAGAAGAGGGCGAUGGAAUUCCAUGUGUAGCGGUAAAAUGCGUAGAUAUAUGGAGGAACACCAGUGGCGAAGGCGGUCGCCUGGUCUGUAACUGACACUGAUGCACGAAAGCGUGGGGAGCAAAUAGGGAUUAGAUACC
Molecule: ribosomal RNA, 438 nt
Filed under: uncultured bacterium
Lineage: Bacteria
Description: bacterial SSU rRNA
Rfam family: Bacterial small subunit ribosomal RNA
Source: RNAcentral